GGGUGGUUAGCUCAGCCGGUAGAGCAGCGGACUUUUAAUCCGUUGGUCCGGGGUUCGAAUCCCCGACCACCUACCA
This 76-nucleotide transfer RNA is filed under the name Azospira oryzae. RNAcentral describes it as "tRNA-Lys". It matches the Rfam family "tRNA". Rfam says of the family: Transfer RNA (tRNA) molecules are approximately 80 nucleotides in length. RNAcentral also lists the same sequence under 1 other name. The record is from RNAcentral. Lineage: Bacteria; Pseudomonadati; Pseudomonadota; Betaproteobacteria; Rhodocyclales; Rhodocyclaceae.